This 76-nucleotide transfer RNA is filed under the name bioreactor metagenome. RNAcentral's name for it is "tRNA-Arg". It matches the Rfam family "tRNA". Rfam says of the family: Transfer RNA (tRNA) molecules are approximately 80 nucleotides in length. Their secondary structure includes four short double-helical elements and three loops (D, anti-codon, and T loops). Further hydrogen bonds mediate the characteristic L-shaped molecular structure. tRNAs have two regions of fundamental functional importance: the anti-codon, which is responsible for specific mRNA codon recognition, and the 3' end, to which the tRNAs corresponding amino acid is attached (by aminoacyl-tRNA synthetases). tRNAs cope with the degeneracy of the genetic code in two manners: having more than one tRNA (with a specific anti-codon) for a particular amino acid; and 'wobble' base-pairing, i.e. permitting non-standard base-pairing at the 3rd anti-codon position. The record is from RNAcentral.
GCCCCCGUAGCUCAAUUGGAUAGAGUGCCUGACUUCGAAUCAGUAGGUUGAGAGUUCGAGCCUCCCCGGGGGCGCC